This 915-nucleotide small RNA is filed under the name Pongo abelii (Sumatran orangutan). Its description in RNAcentral is "processed transcript". The record is from RNAcentral. Lineage: Eukaryota; Metazoa; Chordata; Mammalia; Primates; Hominidae.
UUACUCUGUUACUCUAAGUAAAUUCAGUUGUGUGAUAAAAAUGGGUCAAAUGUAAUAUGUAUUCUAUAAAUUAUAGAAAAAAUAUUUCUUAGAAAAAUUUCCAAAGAUGAAUGACUUUAGUAUUCAGGGAUAGUGCACUGCUCUUUGAAAACUAUUAAGUAUUUGGGAAUGUCUGGAUUAUGGUGGGCCAGUGCUUUUGAUCAACUGCCCUGCACAAAAAUGAAAAAUGCUUGAGACAGUGUGUGUGUAUAUGUUUAUUCCUGGAGGAUUUAAUCUAUUUAGUUAUAAUUGUGACUAAAAGUUUCACGUCUCAAAAAAUUUAUUAGAGAUUAUGGGCUGUACUUCAUGGGUUUUAAUAUUUCUUUAAAUUAUACCAGAAUGUAAAGCUAACAAAUCUCUUUUAAGGAUAAAGUAGCCAAUAUUUGGUGCAGCUUCAAUGUCUUUCUGAAGAUUAAGGAUAUUUUGCCACGUCACAUCCAAUUAAUAAUGAGCUUUUGUUUUACGUUUUUGAGCCUGCUUCCUGCAUGCAUAAAAUUAAUACUUCAGCCAUCUUCCAAAGGAUUCAAAUUUACACUGGUUAGCUGUGCACUAUCAUUCUUUUUAUUUUCUUUCCAAGUACAUGAAAAAUCCAUUCUCUUGGUAUCACUACCAGUCUGCUUAGUUUUAAGUGAAAUUCCUUUUAUGUCUACUUGGUUUUUACUUGUGUCAACAUUUAGUAUGCUACCUCUUCUAUUGAAGGAUGAACUCCUAAUGCCCUCUGUUGUGACAACAAUGGCAUUUUUUAUAGCUUGUGUAACUUCCUUUUCAAUAUUUGAAAAGACUUCUGAAGAAGAACUGCAGUUGAAAUCCUUUUCCAUUUCUGUGAGGAAAUAUCUUCCAUGUUUUACAUUUCUUUCCAGAAUUAUACAAUAUUUG